RNAcentral lists this ribosomal RNA (447 nucleotides) under uncultured bacterium. RNAcentral's name for it is "bacterial SSU rRNA". It matches the Rfam family "Bacterial small subunit ribosomal RNA", at positions 355 to 825 of the family's 1533-position model. The record is from RNAcentral.
UCGGGAAUUUUGGGCAAUGGGCGAAAGCCUGACCCAGCAACGCCGCGUGAAGGAUGAAGUAUUUCGGUAUGUAAACUUCGUAAGAAUAGGAAGAAUAAAUGACGGUACUAUUUGUAAGGUCCGGCUAACUACGUGCCAGCAGCCGCUGUAAUACGUAGGGACCAAGCGUCGUUCGGAUUUACUGGGCGUAAAGCGCGCGUAGGUGGUUUGUUAAGUUGGAUGUGAAAUCCCCGGGCUCAACCUGGGAACUGCAUUCAAAACUGACAAGCUAGAGUAUGGUAGAGGGUGGUGGAAUUUCCUGUGUAGCGGUGAAAUGCGUAGAUAUAGGAAGGAACACCAGUGGCGAAGGCGACCACCUGGACUGAUACUGACACUGAGGUGCGAAAGCGUGGGGAGCAAACAGGAUUAGAUACCCCCGUAGUCCCUGAGCGGGCUGGCAAGGCGCAU